Molecule: transfer RNA, 72 nt
Organism: Camelus ferus (Wild Bactrian camel)
Lineage: Eukaryota; Metazoa; Chordata; Mammalia; Artiodactyla; Camelidae
Rfam family: tRNA
About the family: Transfer RNA (tRNA) molecules are approximately 80 nucleotides in length. Their secondary structure includes four short double-helical elements and three loops (D, anti-codon, and T loops).
Source: Rfam
GCAGGUAGAGCUCAGGGGUAGAGCACGUGCUUAGCAUGCACGAGGUCCUGGGUUCCAUCCCUGGUACCUCCA